This 28-nucleotide non-coding RNA is filed under the name Homo sapiens (human). The record is from RNAcentral. Lineage: Eukaryota; Metazoa; Chordata; Mammalia; Primates; Hominidae.
UGGACCAGGGUGUGUUUAUUUCCUCGGC